Schistosoma margrebowiei is the source of this 78-nucleotide non-coding RNA. NCBI's taxonomy places the organism in Eukaryota, Metazoa, Platyhelminthes, Trematoda, Strigeidida, Schistosomatidae. The record is from Rfam.
AGCCUUCUGUAUCCGUGCUGAGAUUUUGUCACACAUCAGACCACAAGGGCUGAUGAAACUUCUCAGAUAAGUGAAGCG